Eriocheir sinensis (Chinese mitten crab) is the source of this 2119-nucleotide long non-coding RNA. RefSeq lists it as uncharacterized. The transcript has 2 exons. NCBI's taxonomy places the organism in Eukaryota, Metazoa, Arthropoda, Malacostraca, Decapoda, Varunidae. The record is from RefSeq and is a predicted model, not a curated record.
GCUUUGUCUAGCCUUUCUUUGAUCUUCCUUUCUUCAAUUACUCUGCCUUUGUAUCCUUCGUUAACUGGCUCUCACUGCAUUGCCUUACCUCAACUCUCUGUCUCCUUGCUUAACUCCGCCUUACAGUGUCCUACCUUGCUUUAUAAUGGCUUGUGUUGCUUUCUCUUGCCUUCUUUUCGUCUCCUUGCUUUACUCUGCCUUACAUGUAUCCUUCGUUAACUGGCUCUCACUGCGUUGCUUUAUCUCAACUCUCUGUCUCCUUGCUUAACUCCGCCUUACAGUGUUCUACCUUGCUUUAUAAUGGCUUGUGUUAAGUGCUUUCUCUUGCCUUCCUUCCUUUACUCUGUCUUACAUGUAUCCUUCGUUAACUGGCUCUCACUGCCUUGUUGCCUCACACACCGCGUUCGUCACAUUGCGUUGCGUUGCGUCACGGUUCUCAUGUCGUGGUGUCCUAUUAAGAAGGGAAGCCGAACAGAACAUAAUUACACCUCCCCCGCUUACUCACUCACUCUGGGCUGUUCCGUGUGCUCCAGCGAGGGCGGGGCGGGGAGGAAAGAGGAGAGAGGGAAAACAAUUAUCGAAAAGUAUACGUAGGAUAGAGGAGAGAUAGGAGAAGAGGCAAAUAAAGAGGUGGGAUGGAGAACUUAGAUAGGGAAAGAUAUAGCACAAGGAAGAGGUAAACUUAGAGAAGAGAUAAAAGAUAGGAAAGAGGCAGGAUAAAGGAGAGGUAGGAUAGGAAAAGGUAAAGAAAGAGGUGAAAUGGAGAAGUAGGAUAGGGAAAGAUAAAGCACAAGGAGAAGAGAAGAGAAGAGAAGAGAUAAAAGACAGGAUAGAGGCAGGAUAAAGGAGAGGUAGGAUAGGAAAAGGAAAAGAAGGACGUAGGAUAGAUAAAUAGGAUAGAAAAAAAGUAGGAUAGGGAAAGAUAAAGCACAAAGAGAAGAGAACAGAAGAGAAGAGAAGAGAUAAAAGAUAGGAUAGAGGCAGGAUAAGGGAAGCGAUAGGAUAAGAAAAGAUAAAAAAGACGUAGGAUUGAUAAAUAGGAUAAAAAACAGGUAGGAUAGGGAAAGAUACAGCACAAGGUAGAGGUAAACUAAGAGAGGAGAUAAAAGAUAGGCAGGAUAAAGGAGAGAUAGGAUAAGAAAAGAUAAAAAAAGACGUAGGAUUGAUAAAUAGGAUAGAAAAAAAGUAGGAUAGGGAAAGAUACAGCACAAGGUAGAGGUAAACUAAGAGAGGAGAUAAAAGAUAGGCAGGAUAAAGGAGAGAUAAGAGGAGAUACUGACCUCUGGAGAAGUAGGAUAUAAGAAGAAAUUGACCUCUCUUUUGGCCACUCCUGUCUGUUGUGGGAGCGGUGAGUAGCGGGCUUUUUUUUCUUUUUCUUUUCUACUCUCUUUUUCUUGCCCUUGAGCCGUCUCCUUUGCUGUAAAUAAAGGUGGGGGGAGAAGAGGAUUAAGGGAAGAGAUAAGAGUCGUUACAGGUAUACAUAGGUAAGUAAGAGGGAGGGGGAGGCAGGAAAAUUGGUCUGCCUUGUAAGAGGGUAAUAUGGUUCGUAAAGUUCCCCCUGCACUGGGUCGUUGAGGGCGGAGCGGCGCAUUACGGAGAUUAGGGCAACGAUUUUCCUUAAUGAACUCCCGUAUCGAACCCUUCCUUAACCGAUAAUUACGAGUCCCGAAGAGAAGAAAGAAAAGAAGAACCUCAGAAGACCCGACAAAGCUUGGAAAGUCUAGAUUAGUUUAGGCGCUGACAAUGACACCUUUUUGGACCGUGGAAAUGACCCAACAGAGGAAUUAUUAUUAUUUUUUUUACAGCAGAGGAGACAGAUCAAGGGCGUAAAAGAAAUAAUGAAAAAAAAAGCCCGCUACUUACUGCUCCUGAAUAGAGUAGAGAGGAGUGGCCAAACACAGAAAUCAAUCCCUAAUGUAUCCCUUGAGCUCCUAAACGGUAUCAGUUCUUUACCUUAUACCUGGUUGUGUUUAUGGAUGAUGCUGUCACGUUUUGUUUCUUUUUAAAACGUUGGGAAUUAAUGUUUACGAAGACGCCGCUAGCACAGAUUUCGUCGUUAUGAGAUGGAUGAGGAACACACACACACACACACACACACACACACACACACACACACACA